Molecule: ribosomal RNA, 482 nt
Filed under: uncultured bacterium
Lineage: Bacteria
Description: partial 16S ribosomal RNA
Rfam family: Bacterial small subunit ribosomal RNA
Source: RNAcentral
AUUGAACGCUGGCGGCAUGCCUUACACAUGCAAGUCGAACGGUAACGGGCCUUCGGGUGCCGACGAGUGGCGAACGGGUGAGUAAUACAUCGGAACGUGCCCGAUCGUGGGGGAUAACGAGGCGAAAGCUUUGCUAAUACCGCAUACGAUCUACGGAUGAAAGCCGGGGACCGCAAGGCCUUGCGCGGACGGAGCGGCCGAUGGCAGAUUAGGUAGUUGGUGGGAUAAAAGCUUACCAAGCCGACGAUCUGUAGCUGGUCUGAGAGGAUGAUCAGCCACACUGGGACUGAGACACGGCCCAGACUCCUACGGGAGGCAGCAGUGGGGAAUUUUGGACAAUGGGCGCAAGCCUGAUCCAGCAAUGCCGCGUGAAGGAUGAAGGCCUUCGGGUUGUAAACUGCUUUUGUACGGAACGAAAAGCCCUCUUUUAAUACAGGAGGGUCAUGACGGUACCGUAAGAAUAAGCACCGGCUAACUACGUG